AUACGGGGGGUGCAAGCGUUAAUCGGAAUUACUGGGCGUAAAGCGCGCGUAGGCGGUUUGCUCAGUCGGAUGUGAAAGCCCAGGGCUCAACCUUGGAACUGCAUACGAUACUGGCAAACUAGAGUGUGAGAGAGGAUAGUGGAAUUUCCGGUGUAGCGGUGAAAUGCGUAGAUAUCGGAAGGAACAUCAGUGGCGAAGGCGACUGUCUGGCUCAACACUGACGCUGAGGUGCGAAAGCGUGGGUAGCAAACAGGAUUAGAAACCCCGGUAGUCC
Molecule: ribosomal RNA, 274 nt
Filed under: uncultured bacterium
Lineage: Bacteria
Description: partial 16S ribosomal RNA
Rfam family: Bacterial small subunit ribosomal RNA
Source: RNAcentral